Molecule: long non-coding RNA, 447 nt
Filed under: Marmota monax (woodchuck)
Lineage: Eukaryota; Metazoa; Chordata; Mammalia; Rodentia; Sciuridae
Source: RNAcentral
ACAACACUCGUGUGGACCCUGUGACAUUGGGCCAAUUUACGAAUUGGUUGUCUUCUGCUUUUUCUUUCUUUAAGGAAUGGGUGGGAGUAGGCAUUUUUGGAGCGAUGUGUUGUUUUGGGGUUGUCCUUUGUCUGUGGCUUUUCUGUCGCCUAAGAGCUCGUCAUACCAAGAAAAGGCUAUGAUCGUCCAGGCUUUUGCAGCCCUAGAGAAUGGUAUCUCUCCACAAGUUUGGCUUGCGCAACUUAAGCAAUAAUUUCCUGGGUUUUGGCCAUUGCACCCCAAGUUAUCUUUGACAUUGCACUGGGAUUGGCAUGCCCUCCUCUUCCUGCUUUCCCAGUUAUGGAAGGCCCAUGCACUCUGCAGGCCUUGUUGCCAUUGCAUGCAGGUGGGCUUCCAUGCUGGUGCUGCACUUUAUGCUUUGGACCCUUCGUUUUCUCAGGGGCUGAG